This 775-nucleotide ribosomal RNA is filed under the name uncultured Neocallimastigales. RNAcentral describes it as "partial large subunit ribosomal RNA". It matches the Rfam family "Eukaryotic large subunit ribosomal RNA", at positions 26 to 635 of the family's 3401-position model. Lineage: Eukaryota; Fungi; Neocallimastigomycota; Neocallimastigomycetes; Neocallimastigales. The record is from RNAcentral.
CGCAUCUGUGCAUGCAGCAUAUCAAUAAGCGGAGGAAAAGAAACUAACAAGGAUUCCCUUAGUAACGGCGAGUGAAGCGGGAAGAGCUCAAAUUUGAAAUCUUCAAGGUUUUACCUUGGACGAAUUGUAGUUUAAAGAAGUGUUUUCUGUUGAAGUUUUGGUAAAAGUUCUUUGGAAUAGGACAUCAUAGAGGGUGAGAAUCCCGUAUUUGACCAUUAUUUUCAGCUGUGUGAUACACUUUCAAAGAGUCGGAUUGUUUGGGAAUGCAGUCCAAAAUGGGUGGUAAAUUUCAUCUAAAGCUAAAUAUUGGCGAGAGACCGAUAGCGAACAAGUACCGUGAGGGAAAGAUGAAAAGAACUUUGAAAAGAGAGUUAAACAGUACGUGAAAUUGUCAAAAGGGAAGCGUUUGACACCAGUGUUGUUUUCUCGAAAAUCAAUUAAAAAGAGUUAGAUUUUGUUGUGUAUUGACCUUAACAGCUUGCAUUUCAAUUUUCUUGCUUUUUUUAAUGCACUUUUCGUUUAACAAGUCAACAUCAGUUUCUUUUGUUGUAAAAAGGUCAUUGGAAGGUGGCUUUCUUUUCGGAGAAAGUGUUUAUAGCCUUUGACUCCUGCAAUCGGAGAGACUGAGGUCUGCAGCGUAGAUCCUUCGGGGUUAGAUACAUUUGUGCUAAGUUAUAGCUUUUUAUAGACAACUUGUUGACUAUGAUUAGUCUUGUAGCUUACUCGCUUAUGCUAUUUUACCUACGCUUAGGAUGUUGAUCUGUAGUGCGUGCGC